UAAUUUGAAUCACGUGAUGGCUUAUUCAACUAUACCACGCCUACUUUUAAAAGCCAAGCUACUAAUUUUUUCAUCCAACAUCAUGUAAGAGAAAAUUAUCACUUUGGCAUAAUGAAACAAAUGUAUCUAUCUCAAAUAGGCCCCUGGCUUUGUAGUUUCAGUACUGAUACACAGUCCCACUUCCAUCAGUCAGAAUGAUAACAUUUUAGUCCAUGGUGCAAUCUUACCAAAGAAAUGAAUGAAUCUCAUCACCAGUUGAUAGUACUUGUUAAUCCUAGUUCUAUAGUGUAUUAGUUAAUGGAAAAGUUAUUAGAAAAAUAUACUUAUCAAUUAUUAGGUAAAUAGAUAAAAUAGCAAUAAUUAUUUAGAAAUAUGAUUUGUCUAGAUUGCAUUCAGUGUACUGCAAAUUAAGUUAUAUCUGAGAAGCAAGCACCUGUAGUUUGAUAAAGUGUUGUCAGUGUGUUUUUCACACUUGUAUGUAGUACUACAGUAUGUAGCACAUGCAUGUAAAUUCAAGUUG
Molecule: unclassified non-coding RNA, 520 nt
Filed under: Amphimedon queenslandica
Lineage: Eukaryota; Metazoa; Porifera; Demospongiae; Haplosclerida; Niphatidae
Description: tripartite motif-containing protein 3-like, transcript variant X5
Source: RNAcentral